GCACUGCUGAAGAGUCUCAAAAUAAGAUGAAACGGCCGUCCAGCGC
Schistosoma mattheei is the source of this 46-nucleotide non-coding RNA. The record is from Rfam. NCBI's taxonomy places the organism in Eukaryota, Metazoa, Platyhelminthes, Trematoda, Strigeidida, Schistosomatidae.